Molecule: unclassified non-coding RNA, 400 nt
Filed under: fungal sp.
Lineage: Eukaryota; Fungi
Description: partial internal transcribed spacer region
Rfam family: Eukaryotic small subunit ribosomal RNA (bases 1-46)
Source: RNAcentral
AAGUCGUAACAAGGUUUCCGUAGGUGAACCUGCGGAAGGAUCAUUAACACUUUUUUCAUCCCCACUAAAUGGAAAGAGGGAAAAAAAGAAAACACCCCGGUGUUUUUUGAUUUUUUCCUUUUUUUUCCAAAACCCCACUUUUUGUGUGCACUUGUGAAAAAGAAAGGAAAGGAAAGGAAAGGAAGGAAGGGAAAGGAAAGGAAACUUUCUAUUCUAUUCUUUUCUAUUCUAUUCUUUUCUUUUUUGAUUUUCUUAUCUUUCUUCAAAACCCCUUUUUUUAUCAUUUUAAUGCUAUAGACUGAAAAACUCGAGAUCCAUCAUCUUUUCCAAAACCAUGGAAAAAUGAUGGCCUAGAAAUUAAUCAUAAAUACAACUCUUAGCAACGGAUAUCUAGGCUCUC